CCUACGGGUGACAGCAGUGAGGAAUAUUGGUCAAUGGGCGCGAGCCUGAACCAGCCAAGUCGCGUGCGGGAUGAAGGUUCUAUGGAUCGUAAACCUCUUUUAUAAGGUAAUAAAGUGUGGGACGUGUCCUUUUUUGUAUGUACCUUAUGAAUAAGGAUCUGCUAACUCCGUGCCAGCAGCCGCGGUAAUACGGAGGAUCCGAGCGUUAUCCGGAUGUAUUGGGUUUAACGGGUGCGUAGGCGGCCUUUUAAGUCAGCGGUGAAAGUCUGUGGCUCAACCAUGGAAUUGCAGGGGAAACUGGGGGGCUUGAGUAUGUUUGAGGCAGGCGGAAUGCGUGGUGUAGCGGUGAAAUGCUUAGAUAUCACGCAGAACCCCGAUUGCGAAGGCAGCCUGCCAAGCCAUGACUGACGCUGAUGCACGAAAGCGUGGGGAUCAAACAGGAUUAGAUACCCCUGUAGUC
Molecule: ribosomal RNA, 460 nt
Filed under: uncultured bacterium
Lineage: Bacteria
Description: partial 16S ribosomal RNA
Rfam family: Bacterial small subunit ribosomal RNA
Source: RNAcentral